Molecule: ribosomal RNA, 468 nt
Filed under: uncultured bacterium
Lineage: Bacteria
Description: partial 16S ribosomal RNA
Rfam family: Bacterial small subunit ribosomal RNA
Source: RNAcentral
GACGAACGCUGGCGGCGUGCUUAACACAUGCAAGUCGAACGGAAAGGCCCUGCUUUUGUGGGGUGCUCGAGUGGCGAACGGGUGAGUAACACGUGAGUAACCUGCCCUUGACUUUGGGAUAACUUCAGGAAACUGGGGCUAAUACCGGAUAGGAGCUCCUGCUGCAUGGUGGGGGUUGGAAAGUUUCGGCGGUUGGGGAUGGACUCGCGGCUUAUCAGCUUGUUGGUGGGGUAGUGGCUUACCAAGGCUUUGACGGGUAGCCGGCCUGAGAGGGUGACAGGCUCCAUUGGGACUGAGAUACGGCACAGCCUCCUACGGGAGGCAGCAGUGGGGAAUAUUGCACAAUGGGAGGAAGCAUGAUGUAGCAACGCCGCGUGGGGGAUGACGGCCUUCGGGUUGUAAACCGCUUUCGCCUGUGACGAAGCGUGAGUGACGGUAAUGGGUAAAGAAGCACCGGCUAACUACGUG